RNAcentral lists this non-coding RNA (47 nucleotides) under Mytilus galloprovincialis (Mediterranean mussel). The record is from RNAcentral. Lineage: Eukaryota; Metazoa; Mollusca; Bivalvia; Mytilida; Mytilidae.
GCUUCACUGAAGAGUCGUAUGCAGACGAAACGCGCGUCUGGCGUAAU